Molecule: ribosomal RNA, 915 nt
Filed under: uncultured archaeon
Lineage: Archaea
Description: bacterial SSU rRNA
Rfam family: Archaeal small subunit ribosomal RNA
Source: RNAcentral
UUCCGGUUGAUCCUGCCGGAGGUGACUGCUAUCAGGAUUCGAUUAAGCUAUGCGAGGUGUGAGUCAUCUGGACUCGCCGAGCUGCUCAGUAACACGUAGCUAACCUGCCCUAAAGAGGAGGAUAAUCCUGCGAAAGUGGGGAUAAUACUCCAUAGUUGUUUGGUGCUGGAAUGUCCAUACAACCAAAGCUUCGGCGCUUUAGGAUGGGGCUGCGGCCUAUCAUGGCAGUUGUGAGUGUAAUGUACUCACAAACCUGUAACGGGUAAGGGUCAUGAAAGUGAGAGCCCUGAGAUGCUUUCUGAGACAUGAAAGCAGGUCCUACGGGACGCAGCAAGCGCGAAACCUUUCCAAUGGCUAAGCGGUCGAGAAGGGAAUCCUGAGUGAUUGUACUUAGUAUAGUCUUUUGUCUUGUGUAAAUAGCAAGACGAAUAAGUGGUGGGUAAGACGGGUGGCAGCCGCCGCGGUAAUACCCGCGCCACGAGUGGUGAUCACUAUUAUUUGGUUUAAAGCGUCCGUAGCCGGUUUAGCAAGUUCUUGGUGAAAUCUGGCAGCUAACUGUUGGGCGUGCUGAGAAUACUACUAGACUUGGGAUUGGGAGAGGGUAGGGGAAUUCCAUGAGUAGGGGUUAAAUCCUUUAAUCCAUGGAGGACCACCAGUGGCGAAGGCGCCUACCUAGAACAAGUCCGACGGUGAGGGACGAAAGCGUGGGGAACGAAAAGGGAUUAGAUACCCUUGUAGUCCACGCCGUAAACGAUGCCCGCUUGAUGUUGCAAACUUUACGAGAGUUUGCAGUGUCGGAGUGUAAAUGUUAAGCGGGCCACCUGGGGAGUACGGCCGCAAGGCUAAAACUUAAGGGAAUUGGCGGGAGAGCACACAAGGGGUGUGAGCUGCGGUUUAAUUGGAAUCAACGCCGGU